RNAcentral lists this ribosomal RNA (459 nucleotides) under uncultured bacterium. Its description in RNAcentral is "partial 16S ribosomal RNA". It matches the Rfam family "Bacterial small subunit ribosomal RNA", at positions 338 to 795 of the family's 1533-position model. The record is from RNAcentral.
CCUACGGGUGGCAGCAGUGAGGAAUAUUGGUCAAUGGGCGCGAGCCUGAACCAGCCAAGUCGCGUGCGGGAUGACGGCCCUAUGGAUUGUAAACCUCUUUUGUCCGGGAGCAAAAGACGCCACGCGUGGCGUUCUGAGAGUACCCGAAGAAAAAGCACCGGCUAAUUCCGUGCCAGCAGCCGCGGUAAUACGGAGGGUGCGAGCGUUAUCCGGAUUUAUUGGGUUUAAAGGGUGCGUAGGCGGAAGAUCAAGUCAGCGGUAAAAUUGAGAGGCUCAACCUCUCCGAGCCGUUGAAACUGGGUUUCUUGAGUGAGCGAGAGGUAUGCGGAAUGCGUGGUGUAGCGGUGAAAUGCAUAGAUAUCACGCAGAACUCCGAUUGCGAAGGCAGCAUGCCGGCGCUCGACUGACGCUGAUGCACGAAGGUGUGGGUAUCGAACAGGAUUAGAUACCCCGGUAGUC